UUCAGAAUCUUAACUCUUGUAACUACCCCGCAUCUUGCAAAAUAAAUCGAAAGGUCUAUAAAUGUGCUUGCUUACAACCGCAAAUGCUCGUAAAAGAAUAAAUAAUAAAUAUCUACCGAAAUCACUUCAGCCGACUCAUGCAUAAGAACAACCUAAUUGACAAUCUUCCGUCAAAACAAACAGUUAAAUGAUUAUAUUUUACUAUCCUUUUUUAUGGACUUUUUAUGCGGCCCUAUAGACAAUACCAAAGAAGAUAUAAUAUAUUGUAUUGUAUACGAGAGUACAUAAAAUUUGAAGUGGGCCAUAACUUUGGCUCGAGUCACUUGAUGAAGUAUUUUAUUACUAUUAAACGCCAAUGUUAUAGGCUAAACAAAACACCAUCACGAUAACUGAUUGUCUGAUCGUAAAAUUGUCGUAAAAAUGAAAACGACCUUCGCCCUGAUCAUCAUCAUCGUAAUCGUCAUAUCAUGGAAACAGUCUAUCAGAAUAGUACCGUAGAAAUGUGACAUAACAAUCAACGAAAACGUAGCUCAUUCGAAUUCUUUGUUCGAGCGUUUGAUGGUUUUAUUUUGUGCGUUGAGGAUGAAUAAGAAUCUAUGGGGAUAGACAACAAGUGUCAUAGAGGGCGCUAAGUCGUAAAAAGAAGUCAUAAACGCUGUACGGAAGCAAAAGAUUAUAGCCGUGCCAUAACCGCCAAUGUAACCUUAAGCCACACAGAGAGCACGAAGGGCGCAUGUAAAAUGUUGUAUGUGUAAGAACGCUGGGAAGACGCUUCUUUUGACAGCCAACGUCAAGUGAGUGGUUAAACAUUCAUUAAAUGGAGAGUCUGUAGGAUAGAUGGUGCGUUUUAUAAGCCGUAACCGGUGUUGAUAUGUUCCUUUUGUUCGGGAAUUUUACGACUCAUCUCUCACAUUUCUUCAUACUGAAUCCAAUCAGGAGCGCGCUUUUCUUACCUACCUAGAAGUUUAUGUAGAUACGGCAGAGUGGACCCCGCAUAGGAAAGAUGUCAGAAUGGUGUCUCUUCAAGAAGAGUUCUUACGACUUUAUAUGGGUUGUUCUUGUUCUUUUAGUACCUAACUGCUGAAGCCAUUUCAGAGCUCGUAAAAUCAAAGGCGGACACUUGUGAUAUCUACUUAACACCACCAGAAACAAUCUCGCCAAUGUCGCCUUUACUUCAAAACCAUCAACAUCACCAUUUACCAUCGCAACCACCACCACCAAUACCUACCGCUCUCUACCAAAGCAUCGUCAUCAUCAUCACCAGCACCGUCACCACCGCCCGAACCAAACCAUAACCAAAAACCACCAUUAACUUAAUUCUGUGCUGCUGCUGCUGUUGCUGUUGCUGCUUCUGCUGCUGUUGCGGCAACAACGGCAGGUUUUAUGAUUUUUUUACGAUUAUUGUACGAUUAUCGUUGAGCGUAAAUGAUUGCAAUAAAAACUAUCAAGUUUAUUGAAAAUUUCA
Eupeodes corollae is the source of this 1465-nucleotide long non-coding RNA. RefSeq lists it as uncharacterized. NCBI's taxonomy places the organism in Eukaryota, Metazoa, Arthropoda, Insecta, Diptera, Syrphidae. The record is from RefSeq and is a predicted model, not a curated record. The transcript is spliced from 2 exons.